AAUAAGAAGUAUAGAAGGGUUACUUAGACUUACAAGAAGGCCGAGCCCACCGGCACUUAACACCAUCAAUAGCAGCACAAAGUUAUGACCUAAAAAACAAUAGGGAAUAAAACCCUGAGUACGGAAUUACUCAGCAAGACUUACCCGACUAAAGAAAAGACUCUCAAGGGUAUGCUGGCUAGAGGGAUUCAAGGUUUGGCUUAUCAAGAAUCAAAGUCUUUGUUUUGCAGAAAAGCUUACUAUGAGUGGAUCCUUAAAAUCCAUUUUUACUUGUCAGGUUAAGUAAAGUUACCUGCAUCUAAAGUUCUUUCUAUCCUAGUUCAAGCACAUGGCCUACACUAGCCAUCUUUUCAUCAUCCCUUUAGUUCACUGGAUUUCUACGUGUAGGGCAGUGACCAAGUCUUCAUAUCCGAGAAGUAACGGCGAUCCGAAUCGAUUAAUACCCAGAUGGGGAUCUCCAAUCACACGACAUAUGUAGCACUUAACCCUUGCAUAUGUCAACUCACCACUGGGGUUCUUAAGACCAGAUCAGGUUCACGGCAACCGAGAGCACAGAUACACCACCAUCUAGCCUCUUGCCACGGAGGGCACACGCUACUCUCGCCAUCUCUCCACUCACAUUGCAUGUUAUCUUAUUCUGGUAUUAGUCUGCCCGAGGCAAAGCUUACCCAUGAUGAGGCAUGUGACUAGUUAAAAGGUCCACGAUCAGCAAGCCUACAUCGACAAAGUCCUUAAUCGACUCAGACGGAGACACUACACCGAGACUCCCUUCUCGUGCAAGUCAACCGCCCGGUCUCAGCUUUAUUAUUUUCAACCCAAAGUUUGGUACCUGGCAGAGGUACAUCUUAUCCGAUGUUGAACCCAUCACGGCCGUGAUGGAUCCACCAUCAAGUUUUAUUUUCGAAAACAUUCCCACCCACUGAAGCAUCACUUUUGUUUUAAAACAAAACAUUUUUGUUUGCUAAAGCAAGGCUAAGCAUCAUAAAAAUCCUUUUUAUAAAAGGGUGUCAAGGAAGGGUAAUCAAUUUUUCAAGGAAGGAAAUGCAUCAAUGGUUUAGCACACAACUCCUAUCACCUAAUGCAUCAAACAAGGUGAUAAAUAUUUUAAAACAUCAAGGAGGUGGCAAAUGCACCGGGGCUUGCCUGGGUAACACUAGGUUAGUGUUGUUAGACGACGACCAAUUGAUGAUCAUCCUUGUCCUAGCACUUGAUCAGGCAGGUUCGUCCAUCAGCAUCACCAUGCGGAGUAGCCCGCGCUUGGGGUCGACUUGGCUUGCCUUCCACAUCACGCGAUUAUUUAUCGUACCUCAUGAGAUACACGAUGCACAUGUAUGAGCACGAGUAUAAAGAGUAUAAGAUAGAUAUCUACACCGAAGAGAAUGAAACACUCAUAACAAAACAUUAAGCAAAUACUAGCUAGCGAUGUACAACUAAUUAUAAUAAUUACGCCUUUCUAGCCUAUUCGGAGGUAGCGCAUACAUCGCAAUACAAUAAAAUAUACACACGCUCUACUUUCUUUUAUGAUUUAUUGACAGAUUCAUAUUACUACAUAUAUUUUUACCUAGUCAACAUAUUUUAUACAAUAUACCAUUACACCAAUCACUAGGUAAGAAAAUCAUCGAUCAUAUCCUACUUCAACAUUAUCAAUCACAAACAGAGAUGACACUAACUACUAGCACACGACAUCGACUUUACUUACGUGUAUUGAACACCAUUAGCAUCGACAGAGUUAUCGAAAAUAGCAUAAAAUUCUAAAUUUAACCUACGCGUCACUAAAAUAUUAUGCUCUGCAAAAUAGAACUAUUUCAAAUAUACUCUGCAACUAAACUCCUCGAAGCAUCUCUCGCAUCACUGGUAUUUCUAACUUAAUUUUAUACGCCAUUAUAAUAUAAAAAUAAAACAAAGGAAGGGAGAUCCUUCCAAAGACGCUUCGGAGUAUCAACAACAGGUACGAUUACC
This 1959-nucleotide long non-coding RNA is filed under the name Zea mays. RNAcentral's name for it is "long non-coding RNA (ZMAY_LNC003121)". The record is from RNAcentral. Lineage: Eukaryota; Viridiplantae; Streptophyta; Magnoliopsida; Poales; Poaceae.